This 468-nucleotide ribosomal RNA is filed under the name uncultured bacterium. RNAcentral's name for it is "partial 16S ribosomal RNA". It matches the Rfam family "Bacterial small subunit ribosomal RNA", at positions 28 to 507 of the family's 1533-position model. The record is from RNAcentral.
GACGAACGCUGGCGGCGUGCUUAACACAUGCAAGUCGAACGGAAAGGCCCUGCUUUUGUUGGGUGCUCGAGUGGCGAACGGGUGAGUAACACGUGAGUAACCUGCCCUUGACUUUGGGAUAACUUCAGGAAACUGGGGCUAAUACCGGAUAGGAGCUCCUGCUGCAUGGUGGGGGUUGGAAAGUUUCGGCGGUUGGGGCUGGACUCGCGGCUUAUCAGCUUGUUGGUGGGGUAGUGGCUUACCAAGGCUUUGACGGGUAGCCGGCCUGAGAGGGUGACCGGCCACAUUGGGACUGAGAUACGGCCCAGACUCCUACGGGAGGCAGCAGUGGGGAAUAUUGCACAAUGGGCGGAAGCCUGAUGCAGCAACGCCGCGUGCGGGAUGACGGCCUUCUGGUUGUAAACCGCUUUCGCCUGUGACGAAGCGUGAGUGACGGUAAUGGGUAAAGAAGCACCGGCUAACUACGUG